This 505-nucleotide ribosomal RNA is filed under the name Crenosoma striatum. RNAcentral describes it as "SSU rRNA". It matches the Rfam family "Eukaryotic small subunit ribosomal RNA", at positions 1300 to 1831 of the family's 1831-position model. The record is from RNAcentral. Lineage: Eukaryota; Metazoa; Nematoda; Chromadorea; Rhabditida; Crenosomatidae.
GGUGGAGCGAUUUGUCUGGUUUAUUCCGAUAACGAGCGAGACUCUAGCCUGCUAAAUAGUGACUGGAUUUUUAUGUCUAGUCUACUUCUUAGAGGGAUAAGCGGUGUCUAGCCGCACGAGAUUGAGCGAUAACAGGUCUGUGAUGCCCUUAGAUGUCCGGGGCUGCACGCGCGCUACAAUGGAAGAAUCAGCUGGCCUAUCCAUUGCUGAAAGGUAUUGGUAAACCGUUGAAACUCUUCCGUGACCGGGAUAGGGAAUUGUAACUAUUUCCCUUGAACGAGGAAUUCCUAGUAAGUGUGAGUCAUCAGCUCACGCUGAUUACGUCCCUGCCAUUUGUACACACCGCCCGUCGCUGUCCGGGACUGAGCUGUCUCGAGAGGACUGCGGACUGCUGUAUUGAGGCCUUCGGGUCGCGGUAUGGCGGGAAACAGUUCAAUCGCAAUGGCUUGAACCGGGUAAAAGUCGUAACAAGGUAUCUGUAGGUGAACCUGCAGAUGGAUCAUCG